This 109-nucleotide microRNA precursor is filed under the name Polistes canadensis. Its description in RNAcentral is "microRNA pca-mir-13a precursor". Its record names the gene pca-mir-13a. The stretch from base 35 to 96 matches the Rfam family "mir-2 microRNA precursor family". From Rfam's summary of the family: The miRNAs are transcribed as ~70nt precursors (modelled here) and subsequently processed by the Dicer enzyme to give a ~22nt product. In this case the mature sequence comes from the 3' arm of the precursor. The record is from miRBase by way of RNAcentral. Lineage: Eukaryota; Metazoa; Arthropoda; Insecta; Hymenoptera; Vespidae.
AAAAGGUUUUUUCUUUUCGAAAAUGUUUGCGGUCCGAUAAAUCAAAUUGGCUGUGGAAUGUUGCGAGUCAUAUCACAGCCAUUUUGAUGACCUUGGCCCGCAAAACCGA